RNAcentral lists this transfer RNA (86 nucleotides) under Rhodothermaceae bacterium RA. It matches the Rfam family "tRNA". From Rfam's summary of the family: Transfer RNA (tRNA) molecules are approximately 80 nucleotides in length. The record is from Rfam by way of RNAcentral. Lineage: Bacteria; Pseudomonadati; Rhodothermota; Rhodothermia; Rhodothermales; Rhodothermaceae.
GGGGGGAUGGCGGAAUUGGUAGACGCAGCGGACUUAAAAUCCGCUGGUUCGCAAGAACCGUGCGGGUUCGAGUCCCGCUCUCCCCA